Molecule: long non-coding RNA, 1386 nt
Organism: Arachis duranensis
Lineage: Eukaryota; Viridiplantae; Streptophyta; Magnoliopsida; Fabales; Fabaceae
Exons: 4
Source: RefSeq, a predicted model, not a curated record
UGCCAUUGUUCAUCUUCCACUGAUUUGUCAUUCAACUCCUCGCUGUCGCUCAUUCCUUCGUUGCAGCUCAUCUCGUUGCUGCAAGCAAUGCCGUUGUCGCUGCCUUCAGUGAGCUUCUACGAUUCGACUUCGAUCUGAAGAUUUGUCAGCAUUCGUCUCAUCACCAUCGUUCAUCUCCUCGCCAUCGCAAGAAACACCAUUGUCGCUGCCUUCAACGAGCUUCUAGGAUCUAGUUCUCAAUCUAGCUCAUCUCCUCGCCGCCACAAGCAAUUCCAUUGUUGUUGCCUUCAGUAAGCUUCAACAAUUUGGCUUCGAUAUGAAGAUUCGUCACCGCUCAUCUCACUGCCGUCAUUCAUCUAUGCACCAUCGCAAGCAACACCACUGUCGCUGCCUUCUAGGAUCUGAUUUUCAAUCUGGCUCAUCUCCUCACCUCAGCAAGCAACGCCGUUGUUGCUGCCUUCAGCAAGCUUCAACAAUUUAGUUUCGCCAUCUCUGUCACUUCUAAUAGUACAACACAAUACUUUACUUUUUCGUCAACAAAAGUCAUGCCAUUGUGGAGGAACUGAUUGGGUUUGGAGCAAGAGUGCACGCGUGUGCAAAGAAUGAAGCUGAGCUCACUAAGUCUCUUAUCUAAUAAAAUGAUUCUGGUUUUGAGGUUAUUGGCUCUGUUUGUGAUGUCUCUGUUCCUCAUAAGAGGGAGAAGCUGAUGGACUCUGCGUGUUCUCAAUUCCAAGGGAAACUCAACAUCCUUACCAAGGCAAGAAAAGCCAAGAAGAAGUUGCCAAAAUUCUAUAAGAGUUGGAGCAAUGGCCCAAUCUCAGAGUGAAAAAAUUCCACUGUCACAAUCUGCACCCCAAGCUGAGAAGGAGAAAACUCCAAUGACAAUCCUAGACCAUUUAGAAAGAAACACCAGAUUGUUAAGCCCACAGCUCCAUGUAUUGUACCCCCACCCGUACCAGCACCAGUACCAACAUUAUGGUUCAAAUCUCAACUUUCACAAGCUUCAAACCUGAGACUUCACAACUCACAGAACUAAUGCAUUAGGCCAAUAGCUGAUAUGACAACUCCAAGAAACAAGAAUGGUGCAAUUUCUACAGAGACGAUGGCUACUACAUCACGACUUCUUAAAUUUGUGCCUACACCCGACUUUAGGCCUCCAGGACUUGGGCUUCUUAAGCACCAUUGAUAAUGUUAAUAGGGUUAUAGAAAUGUGAAUUGUUGUUUUGUUAUUUUGGAUGUCUAAUUUGCAUCUUUAAGACUUGAAGUGAUACAAUGGUAUUUUGGCUGUUAGUUUUUUUAUUUAGGGCCAUGUUGCUGCCCAUGCUAUGCUAUUUAAACUAUGAAUAGAUAAAUAGCUUGUUAAGUAUCAGUAUGAAUAUAACAUAU